Tripterygium wilfordii is the source of this 466-nucleotide long non-coding RNA. RefSeq lists it as uncharacterized. Lineage: Eukaryota; Viridiplantae; Streptophyta; Magnoliopsida; Celastrales; Celastraceae. The record is from RefSeq and is a predicted model, not a curated record. The transcript is spliced from 4 exons.
AGCUUGACUUGAAGAUUUUGGACUUUCUAAAGCUUGGUUUUCAAGAUUUCUUCAAGAUUGAGAUUUGAGCUUGGAUUGAAGUGUGGAGAUAGGAGGAGAGGUGGUUGUCCUAGGGUUUGAAGAUUUGGGCAAGGUUGAUUGGGCUUGGAAGAGUUGUGGGUUGGCCAAAACGAGGUGAUAUAGGUACUAGCGCUAGUGCUCCGACUACGGAUCAGCAGGGAGGAGCGUGACGCGGAUGGCCUGGACUUGUGGUGGUUUGUUGUUUUAUUUUGUGUGGUGUUGGUUAGUCUUUGGCUUAAUGGUAUAUUAGGAUAUAUACAAGUAUGUAAUGUGUGGGAUAAAUGAAGAUUUUGGAUGGUUAGGCUUGAUGCCUUGGUAUGUAUGUGUGUAUGAUGAUUUAUGUUUGGGAUGAUAUGGCCUGAGGCCCUGGAUAUUUAGUUGGUGGUAUGGGAAUUAUUGGUUUAAA